GUCCGUCAGAACGUAACGGGAAUACUUUUUUUCUCUUUGGACUUUUUCUUCGGAGAGUCGAGCUUCAUUCCUUAUUGAUCACGAUGCCGCGUGGGAAGUCGUACCGUCGCUCUCAGGCUGCCAAGAGGAGGAUGGAGAGGCAGGAGAGUUGGACGACCUCUCUGGACGGCAACCGCGUGGACGGUGUACCUUUGGUUGGUGGUACCGGUUGGCGGCACAAGGUGUUGAGGUGGGAGGAGUCGCAGCUGAC
Larimichthys crocea (large yellow croaker) is the source of this 250-nucleotide long non-coding RNA. RefSeq lists it as uncharacterized. NCBI's taxonomy places the organism in Eukaryota, Metazoa, Chordata, Actinopteri, Sciaenidae. The record is from RefSeq and is a predicted model, not a curated record. The transcript has 3 exons.